RNAcentral lists this ribosomal RNA (495 nucleotides) under uncultured bacterium. Its description in RNAcentral is "partial 16S ribosomal RNA". It matches the Rfam family "Bacterial small subunit ribosomal RNA", at positions 28 to 507 of the family's 1533-position model. The record is from RNAcentral.
GACGAACGCUGGCGGCGUGCCUAAUACAUGCAAGUAGAACGCUGAAGGAGGAGCUUGCUCUUCUGGAUGAGUUGCGAACGGGUGAGUAACGCGUAGGUAACCUGCCUGGUAGCGGGGGAUAACUAUUGGAAACGAUAGCUAAUACCGCAUAACAGUAGAUGUUGCAUGACAUUUACUUAAAAGGUGCAAUUGCAUCACUACCAGAUGGACCUGCGUUGUAUUAGCUAGUUGGUGGGGUAACGGCUCACCAAGGCGACGAUACAUAGCCGACCUGAGAGGGGGGUCGGCCACACUGGGACUGAGACACGGCCCAGACUCCUACGGGGGGCAGCAGUAGGGAAUCUUCGGCAAUGGACGGAAGUCUGACCGAGCAACGCCGCGUGAGUGAAGAAGGUUUUCGGAUCGUAAAGCUCUGUUGUAAGAGAAGAACGAGUGUGAGAGUGGAAAGUUCACACUGUGACGGUAUCUUACCAGAAAGGGACGGCUAACUACGUG